CUGUCCGAGGGGCGCUGCAGCAGGCCAAUCACAGCCUGUCAGGCUCGGAUGGGGCGUUACCCAAACGCAUCAACGGCGCCCAUUCGCA
This 88-nucleotide non-coding RNA is filed under the name Pseudomonas sp. RNAcentral's name for it is "SAH sequence". It matches the Rfam family "SAH (S-adenosyl-L-homocysteine) riboswitch aptamer". The record is from RNAcentral. RNAcentral also lists the same sequence under 1 other name. Lineage: Bacteria; Pseudomonadati; Pseudomonadota; Gammaproteobacteria; Pseudomonadales; Pseudomonadaceae.